ACUGGGACAUUUUGGAGCACGGGGUACAAACAGACAGAGAAGCUACAGCGAACGUUUGCUGUGGAGACUCACGGCAGAUGGCUGCCCUCCCAGAGUCUGCUUCUACCGGAGACGUCCUACUGUUAAAAGGUUCCUUCUGCUCAUAGAGAAUAGUUAUGUCAUAGAGGUUUCCAUCUAAAAUACUGAAAGAUGGCUGGAGGGACGUGUCUGCGUUUGAUCCACAGAUGCUGGCAGGCUGAGCCCCGGCAGGCAAACAAGAGUAGGGAAUCUCAUCCUCUGUUUCCAGCUUCCAGGGACCGGCUCCAGGUGUAAGGCAGGAACAAGGACUGAAUGAUGGGAGAACUAGCCUGGCAUGUUCUUUACAGCGGGGGAAACAAAGACCUAAGACUGAAACCAUGAACCCUCCACAGCGUCCAGGGUUCAUUGCCCACUCUCCAUAUCUGAAUUCCAUGAGCCUCAUAGACUGCCCUUCCAGUUCACAUUGUAUAUAUGACCCCACUGCACUACAAGCUUGUUUGUUCUAAUUUACAUGCCCCAACCUCGCUCCCUCUUUCAGAUCAUUCACCUCCCAUUAGUACACGGUGUUCUGUCUGGUUCUGGAGCUGCACCAGUCCCCUCUGACUCCUUCCUCAAACCACAGCUUACACCAUCUGCCAUUGUGUGCUAGAAAUGCUGUCAAUUUCUUGGUCCUGUCCCAGAUACAUCUGGCUAAUAAGCAUUCUGUAGUGACGCAUGCUGGUUUGAUUGAAGUUUGCUCAGAGUGAAAAGAAACCAAACCAUCAACUGAUUUUGGAACAGAGAAAUUAAAGUAUAUGUGUGAAAAUGCAUUUAAAUGCCAUUUAAGGCAUUUUUAUCUGACAUCAGCUGAUGACCUAAACAGCUUGUUUUUGUUCGAUGGCUUUCUCCAAAAGUUGUAGACCUAAAAUGUUACUGCAAGCAUAAAUGAAGUUGAUUGUUUGGUGCCAAACCUUUUCAGCUGGUCACUACUCAAAAGUCAAGUAUGCCCAAAUGUGUCUGUGUAGGUUCUCAGUCAUCCGGGACAUGCAAUUGUCUGCCAU
Pundamilia nyererei is the source of this 1058-nucleotide long non-coding RNA. RefSeq lists it as uncharacterized. Lineage: Eukaryota; Metazoa; Chordata; Actinopteri; Cichliformes; Cichlidae. The transcript has 4 exons. The record is from RefSeq and is a predicted model, not a curated record.